GAUUUUUCAGCUUUCUAGCUUGCGGCUCCCGGCUGUGUGAGCUUUAUGAAGCUGCGGAGGGAUGGUCAACUGCGUGGGUGGCAACGAGUCAGCUAGAGGAGGAUACCUUUAGCGCUGGAAAGGGACAGUAGGGCCGGACAUUACCACAUUACCUUGACAGAACCUUUGCAACUAUGGUGUGAUCCUUCUCCUUCACAACAGGGAUUUAAUCCAGGUUGCUGCUUGACAAGUAAAGAUUCGUACUUAAAUAUGUUUUCAGGACGACUCGGUGAGACUUCAAUGUGCAUACAUUCAGG
Molecule: long non-coding RNA, 296 nt
Filed under: Volvox carteri
Lineage: Eukaryota; Viridiplantae; Chlorophyta; Chlorophyceae; Chlamydomonadales; Volvocaceae
Description: long non-coding RNA (VCAR_LNC002467)
Source: RNAcentral